RNAcentral lists this ribosomal RNA (465 nucleotides) under Vreelandella stevensii. RNAcentral describes it as "partial 16S ribosomal RNA". It matches the Rfam family "Bacterial small subunit ribosomal RNA", at positions 338 to 795 of the family's 1533-position model. Lineage: Bacteria; Pseudomonadati; Pseudomonadota; Gammaproteobacteria; Oceanospirillales; Halomonadaceae. The record is from RNAcentral.
CCUACGGGAGGCAGCAGUGGGGAAUAUUGGACAAUGGGGGGAACCCUGAUCCAGCCAUGCCGCGUGUGUGAAGAAGGCCCUCGGGUUGUAAAGCACUUUCAGUGAGGAAGAACGCCUGGUGGUUAAUACCCAUCAGGAAAGACAUCACUCACGGAAGAAGCACCGGCUAACUCCGUGCCAGCAGCCGCGGUAAUACGGAGGGUGCGAGCGUUAAUCGGAAUUACUGGGCGUAAAGCGCGCGUAGGUGGCUUGAUAAGCCGGUUGUGAAAGCCCCGGGCUCAACCUGGGAACGGCAUCCGGAACUGUCAAGCUAGAGUGCAGGAGAGGAAGGUAGAAUUCCCGGUGUAGCGGUGAAAUGCGUAGAGAUCGGGAGGAAUACCAGUGGCGAAGGCGGCCUUCUGGACUGACACUGACACUGAGGUGCGAAAGCGUGGGUAGCAAACAGGAUUAGAUACCCUGGUAGUA